This 405-nucleotide ribosomal RNA is filed under the name uncultured bacterium. RNAcentral's name for it is "bacterial SSU rRNA". It matches the Rfam family "Bacterial small subunit ribosomal RNA", at positions 355 to 776 of the family's 1533-position model. The record is from RNAcentral.
UGGGGAAUCUUGCACAAUGGGCGAAAGCCUGAUGCAGCAACGCCGCGUGGGGGAUGAAGGCUCUCGAGUUGUAAACCCCUUUCAGCAGGGACGAAUCUGACGGUACCUGCAGAAGAAGGCCCGGCCAACUACGUGCCAGCAGCCGCGGUAAUACGUAGGGGCCAAGCGUUGUCCGGAUUUAUUGGGCGUAAAGAGCUCGUAGGCUGUUCGGUAAGUCGGGUGUGAAAACUCUGGGCUCAACUCAGAGACGCCACUCGAUACUGCUGUGACUAGAGUCCGGUAGGGGAGUAUGGAAUUCCCGGUGUAGCGGUGAAAUGCGCAGAUAUCGGGAGGAACACCAGUGGCGAAGGCGGUACUCUGGGCCGGAACUGACGCUGAGGAGCGAAAGCGUGGGUAGCAAACAGG